This 495-nucleotide ribosomal RNA is filed under the name uncultured bacterium. RNAcentral describes it as "partial 16S ribosomal RNA". It matches the Rfam family "Bacterial small subunit ribosomal RNA", at positions 30 to 507 of the family's 1533-position model. The record is from RNAcentral.
UGACCGCUGGCGGCGUGCCUAAUACAUGCACGUCGAGCGAACGGACGAGAAGCUUGCUUCUCUGAUGUUAGCGGCGGACGGGUGAGUAACACGUGGAUAACCUACCUAUAAGACUGGGAUAACUUCGGGAAACCGGAGCUAAUACCGGAUGAUAUUUUGAACCGCAUGGUUCAAAAGUGAAAGACGGUCUUGCUGUCACUUAUAGAUGGAUCCGCGCUGCAUUAGCUAGUUGGUAAGGUAACGGCUUACCAAGGCAACGAUGCAUAGCCGACCUGAGAGGGUGAUCGGCCACACUGGAACUGAGACACGGUCCAGACUCCUACGGGAGGCAGCAGUAGGGAAUCUUCCGCAAUGGGCGAAAGCCUGACGGAGCAACGCCGCGUGAGUGAUGAAGGUCUUCGGAUCGUAAAACUCUGUUAUUAGGGAAGAACAUAUGUGUAAGUAACUGUGCACAUCUUGACGGUACCUAAUCAGAAAGCCACGGCUAACUACGUG